GAGACCUUCCUCGACACCCCACGUUAUGUGGGUUUCCGCAAGACCUUCCGCCAUUGCCUGGGCUUUGAAAGCGCUUUAGGAACGAUACGGAAACGGAGGCUUAGAAGUGGAAACUUUACAGAUAUGGAAACUGAGACUUAGAAAAAUGACCCGUCAAAGGUAUGAGAAGUGGCAGCACUAAGGCUCUAGUUUGCUACGAAUAUGAUCCUGAUAAUUAAAUCUCUGAGUUUCUCUAUCAAUAUCUUCAAAAACUAGAGUAGUGAUACCUAUCUCACAAAGGUGUUGAGUAGACUAAAAGAAAAGGUAUACGAAGCCCGGAUACUGACUGAGCAUGUUCACUGUGUGUCCAGGCUCUGAGUAGAAGGUGAGCUGUGUGUGAAACAAGCUACCUGCUGACAAUAAAACAAGUCAGGCUGUGGGGCUGAUAGCUGCAGAAGAAUUAUGGGCAUCAGAAUAUAUUUUUAAAAUAUAAACAUUUGAUCCCGUCAUUCCACAGAUGGAACGCUGCAUUUAUAUAACUUGUUUAGUCAUCUACCAGUUUCAUUUGUCUUUCUUGCACUGUCCUGGAGGGCCUCACAGCUACAUUCGGAGGCCACAAGGCAAAUGUACAGUGUGCUUCAAUUGGAACAGGAGUUGCUGUGACUUCUCCCUUCGGAGCAAUCACUGUUGCCCACUCAUAUGGACAUACUGAAGGAAAUUCUUGGAACGAGGGUGUAGUAGAGAGGGAGCAGGGGAAAGAACGAAGGGAAGAUUGAAAGAAGAUGGAGCCACAAAGGAGCCAUAGCCUCCUCACACCUCAGUCUUGUUUUAUCUCUGCCAGCCAUUGUUGUGGUGGCUACUAACAUAAUAUAUGUUAAUCUUCUUACAAAUUAUUUUACUAAUAUCUUACUUGAUAUAUUGAACUUUAAUUAUCUUUCUCCUCAUUGCUCUUACUCCAUCUAUGUAUUUAUUUAUUAUUUUUAUUUUUUAUUUUUUUGAGACAGAGUCUCGCUCUGUCGCCCAGGCUGGAGUGCGGUGGCGCAAUCUCGGCUCACUGCAACCUCCGCCACCCGGGUUCAAGUGAUUCUCAUGCCCCAGCGUCCGGAGUAGCUGGGAUUACAGCGUGCGCCAACAUGCCCAGCUAAUUUUUGUAAUUUUAGUAGAGAUAGGAUUUCACUGUAUUGGCAAGGCUGGUCUCAAACUCCUGUGCUCAGGUGAUCUCCCUGUCUCAGCCUCCCAAAGUGCUGGGAUUACAGGCGUGAACCACCGCGCCGUGCCGUCCAUCUAUUUUAAAAUCAGGUGGCUAAGCAGUCCUGUUUAACUGUAGAAGGAUCACAGAAUUUGAGAGCUGGACGAUACUUCAGAGAUGUAUCAUCCAGGAACUCAAUCUAUCAUGAGAAAACAAAUCCAGAAAAGUUAUGUAAUUUGUCCCAGAUCAAAUGAUGAAUCUACUGCACCCUCAUUCUCUAAAUUGCCUCUCCUAAUCCUCUUACCGACUGAUUCAACCCAGAAAGUCUGGGCAUAUUUAAAUAAAAUUUGUGAGUAAGGCUGAGGUCUCAGCAAAUCUGUUAUGCCCUUAGUUUACAGUCCAGGGAUACCUGUAUACCUGCAGGUUGUGUUAGAGGACUUUGAACAUCUGCCAAGGAAAAGCCCUGAUUAAAGAUAAUGAUGAUUCAGAGUGAAUAGCUUUUCCCAGGAGUUUGCAACAGUAAAAAGGCUAGGAAACAAGAAGUGAACUCUAGGAAAAAGAUGAUCCUGGCUUUAAGAUCUCUUGUGAAGCUUACUAUUCUUCUGUCUCCAAAAUAUUUCCAAGAAACAUAUUCAGUGAUAAACUUUACUGGAAGACACAUGCAUUAGAAAAUAUAUUGUUUAAAAUGCUCCCAUGCUUAGGCUAAAAAGUGAUAGAAGCUCAAAUAUUUGUUUGUGUUUUAAAUGUAUUUAUCAUUGUAUAAUGCUACAUAAAUUUAACAAAAGACUUUUUGAUCAUGAAUUGAUGAUUCUAAAAAUAACCAGUUUGUCAAUAAGGAGUCUAGACUUCAAGCCCCUUGAGGUCAAGAACCAAGUUUUUCUAUAAUCUAAUUUCUAAGAAGAGCUUCAGGUACAGUGGUGAUGUUCAAUAAUGUUUGUCAAUAAAAUAAGUAACUAAUCUCAAAUUUUACAAUACCAGGACUAGUAUAUAAUAUUCCUAAAUACUGGUCUGCCACUUGGGCUAAAAGGUUAGAAUUAUGAAUAAAAGUCUGAUUUUUUUUUCCUGAA
This is a long non-coding RNA of Homo sapiens (human), 2235 nucleotides long. RefSeq lists it as uncharacterized. The record is from RefSeq and is a predicted model, not a curated record. The transcript is spliced from 2 exons. Lineage: Eukaryota; Metazoa; Chordata; Mammalia; Primates; Hominidae.